Molecule: long non-coding RNA, 902 nt
Organism: Carassius carassius (crucian carp)
Lineage: Eukaryota; Metazoa; Chordata; Actinopteri; Cypriniformes; Cyprinidae
Exons: 3
Source: RefSeq, a predicted model, not a curated record
CACUUUCUGCUUCCACACAGCACACAUCUAACAACUUCCAAUGCCAUUCUGAAAGGGGAAAAAAAGAUGUUCACCAUUAUGUCAUUUUUAAUUAUCGUCCUGUCAUCAGACUACACCGAAGGUGAAAUAGAGCUCCGUGCUUUCAAACACCAGACAGUGAAUUGCAAUGAGAGGACUGUCUUACAAUGCAAUAUCAGCUCAUCAACGCCACUGAACAUAGUUAAAGUAUACUGGAAAAAAACAGAAGAGAAAGAUUUUGAAUGUGAUCCAACAUCCAGCAAUAGACCUCCAGGAUUUUAGUGUAACUACACAGGAGAAGCACUGACAUUAACCAUCUCAAAUCCUACACCAGCAAAAAUGGGCUCGUAUUUUUGUUGUAUAAAGACAGACUCUGGACAUGGAGCAAAAGAAAUCAAUGUAUCUAUAGGACAAUGCACUGGAGAAUUCUCCCACCAGAUGGCUGAACCCAAACAAAUGCAGUGUAGUUUUAAUGGUGUGUACCCAGAGGGCAUGAUAAACUGGUUUCAUUAUGACAAGAACCUGACUUCCAGCUCUACAGUCACAAGCCUGGUGAACUCUGAUGGAACGUACAGCAUCACAAGUGAACUAAACAUCCAGGACGAUCAAGAGAGAUAUAAAUGCUCACUGUGGUCAUUCAAACACGGACAAUAUCUUAAAGAUCAAGAGUUUAAAGUGCCAAUUCAUGCUGAUUCCAGGCCCAUUAGCAGGAUCAGCACACAGCAUUGUUUAUCAUGGACUCUUAUCCUUCUUAGCCUGAUGUUUUGAUUGAGAGCCUGUUUGUCUCCAACUAUCACAAUGAUGACAUAACCAAAGAUCUGGUGGGUUUUAAUAAAAUAAUUUGUCAAAUAAACUGGCCACCUAAUAAAUAUAGUGGUAGAACU